CAGCUCAAAUUUGAAAUCUGGCUCUUUCAGAGUCCGAGUUGUAAUUUGCAGAGGGCGCUUUGGUGUUGGCAGCGGUCCAAGUUCUUUGGAACAGGACGUCACAGAGGGUGAGAAUCCCGUACGUGGUCGCUAGCCCUCACCGUGUAAAGCCCCUUCGACGAGUCGAGUUGUUUGGGAAUGCAGCUCUAAAUGGGAGGUAAAUUUCUUCUAAAGCUAAAUACUGGCCAGAGACCGAUAGCGCACAAGUAGAGUGAUCGAAAGAUGAAAAGCACUUUGGAAAGAGAGUCAAAUAGCACGUGAAAUUGUUGAAAGGGAAGCGCUUGCAGCCAGACUUGCCUGUAGUUGCUUAUCCGGACUUUUGUCCGGUGCACUCUUCUGCGGGCAGGCCAGCAUCAGUUUGGGCGGUUGGAUAAAGGUCUCUGUCAUGUACCUCCUUUCGGGGAGGCCUUAUAGGGGAGACGACAUGCAACCAGCCUGGACUGAGGUCCGCGCAUCUGCUAGGAUGCUGGCGUAAUGGCUGUAAGCGGCCCGUCUUGAAACACGGACCAAGGAGUCUAACAUCUAUGCGAGUGUUUGGGUGUCAAGCCCAGACGCGUAAUGAAAGUGAACGGAGGUGGGAACCCUUUGGGUGCACCAUCGACCGAUCCUGAUGUCUUCGGAUGGAUUUGAGUAAGAGCAUGGCUGUUGGGACCCGAAAGAUGGUGAACUAUGCUUGAAUAGGGUGAAGCCAGAGGAAACUCUGGUGGAGGCUCGCAGCGGGUUCUGACGUGCAAAUCGAUCGUCAAUUUGG
RNAcentral lists this ribosomal RNA (790 nucleotides) under soil fungal sp. DM2-390. RNAcentral describes it as "eukaryotic LSU rRNA". It matches the Rfam family "Eukaryotic large subunit ribosomal RNA", at positions 104 to 914 of the family's 3401-position model. Lineage: Eukaryota; Fungi. The record is from RNAcentral.